UCCAUUAGCGCUAGCUCGGU
This 20-nucleotide non-coding RNA is filed under the name Arabidopsis thaliana (thale cress). Lineage: Eukaryota; Viridiplantae; Streptophyta; Magnoliopsida; Brassicales; Brassicaceae. The record is from RNAcentral.